GUUGAAGUUUCUUGGUCUGAAAAGUAUAAUAACUGAAGUAAAUAGUAGUCUGGUGCACGAGUAGAAUGUAUACAAAAAUCAAAUUAGUGAGCUGGAAGAUUAGGCUGAAGAACUCUCCCAGAAAUAAUCAAGAAGGAAUAUAGAGUUGAGAAAACAUGAAAGACAAGUUUAAAAAUAUGGAGGAAAGAAAUAAUAAUAUCACUAUCUAUAUUUUAAAAAUUCCAGAAAGGUAGUGUAAAAAAUCCAGUGAAAAGUGGAGAAGCAAUACGUUAUUUUCAAGUACACAUGAAACCCAAAAAUAGACUACAUACUGAGUCACAAAGGAAAUCUCAGCAACUUUCAAAUUCAUCAUUUAAAUGUAAAUUGCAAUGAAAUUGCAAAAUAUUUGACAAUGAAUAACAAUGAAAGUACUUUAUAUCAAACAUUAGGGAAUGCCACCAAAUUAUAUUGAGAGGGAAAUAUGUAACUGUACAUGCAGCUAUUAAAUAGCAGUGAAAAUUAAGACUAAAUGUGCUAGGUGUCCAAGUCAAGAAUAGGAAGAGAAUAGCACAGUAAACCUGGAAAAAGUAGAAAUCAAGAAAUCACAAAUGGAAAAGAUACUAAUAGGAGGUAAAACAAAGAAACAAUAGAGAUGAUCAACAGAAUAAAACCUAACUCUUAGAGCACACUGAAAGUGGGCAACGUUCUAGUACAUUUGAUCAAGGGGAAAAGAAAAUACAGAAGCGAUUAAUUUUCAAAAUGAAAAAGGGUAUAUCACAUCUGACACCAGGAAGAUUUUUUAAAGAUUAUUUGGGGAAUAAAACAGGAUACACAUCUGAAUUGGUGUUCUCAUGAAAGAACACUAGAGUAACUUUAUGCCAACACAUUUGCAAAGUUUGACACAGAGGACAUAUUUUUGUGGUAUAUAACAACACAAUUGAUGAGAAGAUAAAUUUUAAAAACCCAAAUAAAAAAGUAAUUAUUCUCUGCAUAGUUAUUUCUUUCCAAAGAAUACAGCAUGGAAAAGGAGAAAGAUUAACUUCCAAAGUGGAAAAGGCUGGCAAACACUACCUCAGCUAGAUGAUCAAGAUCAACACUAGCAGUGAAAAUUGUAAUGUGUACCCUUGAUAUGAUGUGAUGAAAAUGGCAUUUUACUUCUGUGGUCCUUCUCCCCCAGUUCAAAAAACCCGGUCUAACAAUGAGAAAAACACCAGAUAAUUCCCAAUUGAGGGAUACUGUUUAUAAAAUACCUGACCAUGAGCAGUGGUUUGUAGUUCUCCACAUGUGCAGAACAUAGAUAUACACGUACCAUGGUGGUUUGCUGCACUCAUCAUCCCACCAUCUACAGUAGGUAUUUCUCCUAAUGCUAUCCCUCCCCACUCCCCCCAGCCCCCGACAGGCCCAGGUGUGUGAUUUUCCCCUCCCUGUGUCCAUGUGUUCUCAUUGUUCCACUCCCACUUAUGAGUGACAACAUGCAGUAUUUGGUUUGUGUUAGUUUGCUGAGAAUGAUGGUUUCCAGCUUCAUCUAUGUCCCUGCAAAGGACACGAACUCAUCCUUUUGAUGGCUGCAUGGUAUUCCAUGGUGUACAUGUGCCACAUCUUCUUUAUCCAGUCUAUUAUUGAUGGACAUUUGGGUUGGUUCCAAGUCUUUGCUAUUGUGAAUAGUACUGCAAUAUACAUAUGUGUGCAUGUGUCUUUAUAGUAGAAUGGUUUAUAUUCCUUUGGGUAUAUACCCAGUACUGGGCUUGCUGGGUCAAAUGGCAUUUCUAGUUCUAGAUCCUUGAGGAAUCGCCACACUGUCUUCCACAAUGGUUGAACUAAUUUACACUCUCACCAACAGUGUAAAAUAAUUCCUACUUCUCCACAUGCUCUCCAGCAUCGGAUGUUUCCUGACAUUUUAAUGAUCGCCAUUCUAACUGGCAUGAGAUCGUGGUUUUGUGGUUUUGAUUUGCAUUUCUCUAAUGACCAGUGAUGAUGAGCAUUUUUUAAUGUUUGUUGGCUGCAUAAAUGUCUUCUUUUGAGAAGUGUCCAUUCAUAUCCUUUGCCCACAUUUUGAUGGGGUUGUUUGUUUUUUUCUUGUAAAUUUAAGUUCUUUGUAGAUUCUGGAUAUUAGCCCUUUGUCAGAUGGAUAGAUUGCAAAAAUUUUCUCCCAUUCUGUAGGUUUCCUGUUCAUUCUGAUGAUAGUUUCUUUUGCUGUGCAGAAGCUUUUUAGUUUAAUUAGAUCCCAUUUGUCAAUUUUGACUUUUGUUGCCACUGCUUUUGGUGUUUUAGUCAUGAAGUCUUUGCCCAUGCCUACAUCCUGAAUGGUACUGCCUAGGUUUUCUUCUAGUGUUUUUAUAGCUUUAGGUCUUACAUUUAAGUCUUUAAUUCAUCUUGAGUUACUUUUUGUAUAAGGUGUAAGGAAGGGGUCCAGUUUCAGUUUUCUGUAUAUGGCUAGGCAGUUUUCCCAACACCAUUUAUUAAAUACGGAAUCCUUUCCCCAUUGCUUGUUUUUGUCAGGUUUGUCAAAGAUCAGAUGGUUGUAGAUGUGUGGCGUUAUUUCUGAGGCCUGUGUUCUGUUCCAUUGGUCUAUAUAUCUGUUUUGGAUACCAGUUCCAUGCUGUUUUCAUUACUGUAGCCUUGUAGUAUAGUUUAAAGUCAGGUAGCAUGAUGCCUCCACCUUUGUUCUUUUUGCUUAAGAUUGUCUUGGCUAUAUGGGCUCUUUUUUGGUACCAUAUGAAACUUAAAGUAGUUUUUUUUUUAAUAAUUCUGUGAAGAAAGUCUGUGGUAGCUUGAUGGGGAUAGCAGUGAAUCUAUAAAUUACUUUAGGCAGAAUGGCCACUUUCAUGAUAUUAAUUCUUCCUAUUCAUGAGCAUGGAGUGUUUUUCCAUUUUUUUGUGUCCUCUCUUAUUUUCUUGAGCAGUGAUUUGUAGUUCCCCUUGAAGAGGUCCUUCAUAUCCCUUUUAAGUUGUAUUGCUAGGCAUUUUAUUCUCUUUGCAGCAAUUGUGAAUGGGAGUUCACUAAUGUUUUGGCUCUCUAUUAUUGGUGUAUAAGAAUGCUUGGGAUUUUUGCACAUUGAUUUUGUAUCCUGAGACUUUGCUGAAGUUGCUUAUCAGCUUAAGGAGAUUUUGGGCUGAGAUGAUGGGGUUUUCUAAAUAUACAAUCAUGGCAUCUGCAAACAGAGACAAUAUGACUUCCUCUCUUCCUGUUCGAAUACCUUUAUUUCUUUCUCUUGCCUGAUUUCCCUGGCCAGAACUUCCAAUACUACGUUGAAUAGGAGUGGUAAGAGAGGACAUCCUUGUCUUGUGCUGGUUUUCAAAGGGAAUGCUUCCAGCUUUUGCCCAUUCAGUAUGAUAUUGGCUGUGGGUUUGUCAUAAAUUGCUCUUAUUAUUUUGAGAUAUAGUCCAUCAAUACCUAGUUUAUUGAGAGUUUUUAGCAUAAAGGAGUGUUAAAUUUUAUCAAUUGCAUUUCUAAGCAGUAAUAAUAACUUACUAAAAAUGUAAUAGAAAAAUAUCCUAUUUGCUACUGCAUGUACAACAUCUAAAAUUAAAAUAAGAUAUAAAAUAUUUUUAUGGACAUUACAAUAUUGAAGGACAUGAAAGAAGGCAUGAAUAAAUGGAAUAUUAUGUCAUGUUUAUGAACUGGAAGUUCUAAUAUCAUAAAGAUGGUAAUUCCCCCUCAAAUUUUAUCAAAUCUCUAUAAGCUGAUUCUAAAUGUUAUAUGGAAGAGCAAAGGGCCAAAAAUACAUAUCUAAAUCUGCAGAGGAUGAAAAUAAUGGAGCCCACCCUGCCAGAUAUCAAUUUAAAAAAAAAAACUGUAAUUAAGACAGUGUAGCAUUUGCAUAGCUAUAAACAAAUUGACCACUAAGAUAGAAUUAAAAGCGCAGAACUCAAUCUAUUAAUAAAAGCUUGAUAAAUAACAGAAAUUGUCAUGACAUAUUGAUGAAAAAGCAUAAACACUUAAUAAAUGAUUAUUCACACUAUUAAAAAAAAAAACAGGCCGGGCAUAGUGUUUUAUGCCUGUAAUCUCAGCACUUUGGGAGGCUGAGGCAGGCGGAUUCCUUGAGGUCAGGAGUUCAAAACCAGCCUGGCCAACAUGGUGAAACCCCAUCUUUACUAAAAAUACAAAAAUUAGCUGGGCGUGAUGGCGUGCACUUAUAAUCUCAGCUACACAGAGGCUGAGAUUACAGGUGCCUGCCACUGUGCAUGGCUAAGUUUUGUAAUUUUAGUAGAGACGAGGUUUCACCAUCUUGCCCAGUCUCGUCUUGAACUCCUGACCUCGUGAUCCACCUGCCUUGGCCUCCCAAAGUUCUGGGAUUACAGGCAUGAGCCACUGUUGCCGGCCGACUUAACGUUUUUUUAAGAACUAGAUUUUAGUUUUGUUAAUAUUCCCUGUGGUAUAUAAGACAUAUAUUGAGUCUUUGCCCUGGUUCCUGAGACAGAGCUCCAAAAACCCUUAGAAUCUCCUAAUGAUAGGAGUAUCUUUGCCUAUUUAUAAUGAGCCCUUUUUGAGCACAUCUGAGUUUGUGCUAGUGAAGUGAUUCAGGGAGGGGCCCCGAGAUGACCUUAAGAUGGGGGCUACUCACCAGUCUGAAUUUGAAGGCAUGAGAACCAGGAGAGCCAAUGGUGUAGGUUCAGUUCAAAAGCUGGUAGGUUGAAGGUCCAGGAAGAGCCAAUGUUUUGGUUCUACUCUGAAAACAGGACAAAAACCCAUAUCUCAGUGUGAAGGCAUUCAGGCAGGAAGAAUUCUCUCUUACUCAGCGGAGGGUCAGACUUUUGUUCUAUUCAGGCUUUCACAAAUUGGAUGAGGCUCACCUACAUUGG
This 4781-nucleotide long non-coding RNA is filed under the name Homo sapiens (human). RNAcentral's name for it is "HSALNT0181427". Lineage: Eukaryota; Metazoa; Chordata; Mammalia; Primates; Hominidae. The record is from RNAcentral.